RNAcentral lists this ribosomal RNA (388 nucleotides) under uncultured bacterium. RNAcentral describes it as "bacterial SSU rRNA". It matches the Rfam family "Bacterial small subunit ribosomal RNA", at positions 30 to 416 of the family's 1533-position model. The record is from RNAcentral.
AUUGAACGCUGGCGGCAUGCCUUACACAUGCAAGUCGAACGGCAGCACGGGGGCAACCCUGGUGGCGAGUGGCGAACGGGUGAGUAAUACAUCGGAAUGUACCCAGUAGUGGGGGGAUAACUAGUCGAAAGAUUAGCUAAUACCGCAUACGCACUAUGGUGGAAAGCGGGGGAUCGCAAGACCUCGCGCUAUUGGAGCAGCCGAUGUCCGAUUAGGUAGUUGGUGGGGUAAAAAGCCUACCAAGCCUGCGAUCGGUAACUGGUCUGAGAGGACGACCAGUCACACUGGGACUGAGACACGGCCCAGACUCCUACGGGAGGCAGCAGUGGGGAAUUUUGGACAAUGGGGGAAACCCUGAUCCAGCAAUGCCGCGUGUGUGACGAAGGCC